RNAcentral lists this unclassified non-coding RNA (606 nucleotides) under uncultured fungus. RNAcentral describes it as "sequence contains ITS1, 5.8S rRNA gene and ITS2". The stretch from base 237 to 390 matches the Rfam family "5.8S ribosomal RNA". The record is from RNAcentral. Lineage: Eukaryota; Fungi.
CUUGGUCAUUUAGAGGAAGUAAAAGUCGUAACAAGGUCUCCGUUGGUGAACCAGCGGAGGGAUCAUUACAGAGUUGCAAAACUCCCUAAACCAUUGUGAACGUUACCUAAACCGUUGCUUCGGCGGGCGGCCCGGGUCCUUCCCGGCGCCCCUCGGCCCUCGCGGGCGCCCGCCGGAGGUAAACCAAACUAUUGCAUUGUAUGGCCUCUCUGAGUCUUCUGUACUGAAUAAGUCAAAGCUUUCAACAACGGAUCCCUUGGUUCUGGCAUCGAUGAAGAACGCAGCGAAAUGCGAUAAGUAAUGUGAAUUGCAGAAUUCAGUGAAUCAUCGAAUCUUUGAACGCACAUUGCGCCCGCCAGUAUUCUGGCGGGCAUGCCUGUUCGAGCGUCAUUUCAACCAUCAAGCCCCCGGCUUGUGUUGGGGACCUGCGGCUGCCGCAGGCCCUGAAAAGCAGUGGCGGGCUCGCUGGCACACCGAGCGUAGUAGCAUACAUCUCGCUCUGGGCGUGCUGCGGGUUCCGGCCGUAAAACCACCUUCAUAACCCAAGGUUGACCUCGGAUCAGGUAGGAAGACCCGCUGAACUUAAGCAUAUCAAUAAGCGGAGGA